GGAGAGAUGGCUCAGUGGUUAAGAGCACUGGCUGCUCUUCCAGUGUACCUGGGUUCAAUUCCCAUCUCCCA
This 71-nucleotide transfer RNA is filed under the name Neotoma lepida (desert woodrat). It matches the Rfam family "tRNA". From Rfam's summary of the family: Transfer RNA (tRNA) molecules are approximately 80 nucleotides in length. The record is from Rfam by way of RNAcentral. Lineage: Eukaryota; Metazoa; Chordata; Mammalia; Rodentia; Cricetidae.